RNAcentral lists this ribosomal RNA (497 nucleotides) under uncultured bacterium. RNAcentral's name for it is "partial 16S ribosomal RNA". It matches the Rfam family "Bacterial small subunit ribosomal RNA", at positions 28 to 507 of the family's 1533-position model. The record is from RNAcentral.
GAUGAACGCUGGCGGUGUGCCUAAUACAUGCAAGUCGAGCGAACAGACGAGGAGAUUGCUCUCCUGACGUUAGCGGCGGACGGGUGAGUAACACGUGGAUAACCAACCUAUAAGACUGGGAUAACUUCGGGAAACCGGAGCUAAUACCGGAUAAUAUAUUGAACCGCAUGGUUCAAGAGUGGAAGAUGGUUUUGCUGUCACUGACAGAUGGAUCCGCGCCGCAUUAGCUAGUUGGUAAGGUAACGGCUUACCAAGGCAACGAUGCGUAGCCGACCUGAGAGGGUGAUCGGCCACACUGGAACUGAGACGCGGUCCAGACUCCUACGCGAGGCAGCAGUAGGGAAUCUUACGCAAUGGGCGAAAGCCUAACAUAGCAACGCCGCGUGAGUGAGGAAGGUCUUCGGAUCGUAAAACUCUCUUAUUAGGAAAGAACAAAAGUAUAAGUAACAAUACACAUCUUGACGGUACCUAAGCAGAAAACCACGGCUAACUACAUG